AAUUGCCUAACGGCUGAACCAGCAACUUGGAAGAAUGUAUAGCAUUAGCUAGUUGUAUUAGUAAUACAAUAUCGAUUAUAUCGAAUAAAAUUCUGGAUAGAAGAAUGAAUAUGACAAUUUUCUAUCUAUAUGUCUUGGCCAAAUCUCGUGCCAGCAGUCGCGGUAAUACGAGGAAGACUAGUGUUAUUCAUCUUUAUUAGGUUUAAAGGGUACCUAGACUGUAUUUCUAGCCUAAACAAGGUACGGAUUUACUAGAGUUUUAUGUGAGAAGAUAGUAUUUUAGGUGUAGAGAUAAAAUUCAGCAAUACUUAAAGGACUGGUAACGGCGAAAGCGAUCUUUAUGUUAUAUAUCAUAACUAACUAUGUAAAAACUGACGUUAAGGGACGAAGGCCUGGGUAGCGAGAAGGAUUAGAUACCCUAGUAGUCCAGGCAGAAAAAUAUGAAUGCCAUAAAUUAGAAUAAUUUUAGUUUAUAAAUGAAAGUGUAAGCAUUCCACCACAAGAGUAAUGCGGCAACGCUGGAACUGAAAUCAUUAGACCGUUUCUGAAACCAGUAGUGAAGUAUGCUAUUUAAUUCGAUAAUCCGCGAAAAACCUCACCACAGCUUGAAUAUUUAAUUAAAUUAAAAAGUAAUUUUAUACAAGCGUUGCACGGCUGUCUUCAGUUAAUGUCGUGAGAUUUUGGUUAGUUCCAUAAAAUUAACGUAAACCCUUGCUUUAUUUCUUUCUUUAAGUAUAAAGUAGUUCACCAUCAUAUUGGAUAAGAUAAAUGGGAAUAAGACAAGUCAUCAUGGCCUUAAUGCUGUGGGCUAUAGGCGUGCCACAUAUACCUGUACAAAAAGAUGCAAACAUGAAAAUAAGAGCUAAUCUCUAAAGCAGGUUAUAUAAA
This 888-nucleotide ribosomal RNA is filed under the name Biatoridium delitescens. RNAcentral describes it as "SSU rRNA". It matches the Rfam family "Bacterial small subunit ribosomal RNA", at positions 370 to 1294 of the family's 1533-position model. Lineage: Eukaryota; Fungi; Ascomycota; Lecanoromycetes; Lecanorales. The record is from RNAcentral.